UACGUAGGUGGCAAGCGUUAUCCGGAAUUAUUGGGCGUAAAGAGCGCGCAGGUGGUUGAUUAAGUCUGAUGUGAAAGCCCACGGCUUAACCGUGGAGGGUCAUUGGAAACUGGUCGACUUGAGUGCAGAAGAGGGAAGUGGAAUUCCAUGUGUAGCGGUGAAAUGCGUAGAGAUAUGGAGGAACACCAGUGGCGAAGGGGGCUUCCUGGUCUGUAACUGACACUGAGGCGCGAAAGCGUGGGGAGCAAACAGGAUUAGAUACCCU
Molecule: ribosomal RNA, 265 nt
Filed under: uncultured prokaryote
Description: partial 16S ribosomal RNA
Rfam family: Bacterial small subunit ribosomal RNA
Source: RNAcentral